CAUUUCAGAAGAAGGAAAUGACAGGAAUAAAGUUUCAUAAAGGUAAUAAAGAUAAGGGAUGUGUGUGUGUGUGUGUGUGUGUGUGUGUGUGUGUGUAGAUAAUCUCUAAUAUUCCUUCUAGCUCUAAAUCCUUUGAUUCUAAAUAGUCUAAUUUGUGUAGGACACAUAUAAAAGAUGUGUUAAAUGAUUCAAUUUAAUUUAAUAAACAUUUACUACUUGUAGAGUACUAGGCUUUACUAAACCUCAUGGGAGAUAAAUUAGAAAGAAGCAAUGUGAUAUAAUGUGACAGAGGGUUUGCACAUAGGAGAAGUGCCAGGCUGAAAAGUUUUUGUGGAUCUGCUCACCUCAAUGGGGGAAGGAUCCCAGGAGGUCUGGAAUGUUGAGAAGACAGAAGAUUCUGGCUGGGAUUUCAGUUGGAUAGUUCUCUCAACCUAGAGAAGCCUAGGAGAAGAGGUCUGGCCAAGCCUUUCUCCUGGGAUAUAUCCAUCUCUUUCCUCUCCUGGUGCCUGGACAUUCUACCCCUCCCCCCCAAUUCCCAAACUGAAGGAACAUCUGAAGAAGACAUUUUGAGCCUUUGUCAAAAAUUUACCUCACAGCUCCAGGUGCCCUGGAUUGUGAAAUCUUUGAAGGCAGGGACUAGUCAAUGUCUUUCUUUGGAUCCUCAGUACUUAGAAUAAUGCCCAGCAAAUAGCAGAGAGAAAUCUUGCUAUUA
This 712-nucleotide long non-coding RNA is filed under the name Monodelphis domestica (gray short-tailed opossum). RNAcentral's name for it is "lncRNA (ENSMODG00000050674.1)". The record is from RNAcentral. Lineage: Eukaryota; Metazoa; Chordata; Mammalia; Didelphimorphia; Didelphidae.